CACACCCGUUCCCAUACCGAACACGGAAGUUAAGCUUCUCAGCGCCGAUGGUAGUUGGGGGUCUCCCCCUGUGAGAGUAGGACGCCGCCGGGC
RNAcentral lists this ribosomal RNA (93 nucleotides) under Mesobacillus stamsii. The record is from RNAcentral. Lineage: Bacteria; Bacillati; Bacillota; Bacilli; Caryophanales; Bacillaceae.